RNAcentral lists this non-coding RNA (69 nucleotides) under uncultured Tubulinea. Lineage: Eukaryota; Tubulinea. The record is from RNAcentral.
AAAAAAAAGAAAAAGAAAAAGCCUGUCAUGGUGACUUCUUUUUUUUUCUUUCUUGUACAUUUUUUUUUU